GUGAGCAAACCACAGAAACGGCGUCCCAGUUCGGAUUGCAGCCUGCAACUCGGCUGCAUGAAGCUGGAAUCGCUAGUAAUCGCGGAUCAGAAUGCCGCGGUGAAUACGUUCCCGGGUCUUGUACACACCGCCCGUCACACCAUGGGAGUCGGGAAUGCCCGAAGUCAGUGACCCAACCGAAAGGGGGGAGCUGCCGAAGGCAGGCCUGGUAACUGGGGUGAAGUCGUAACAAGGUAGC
Molecule: ribosomal RNA, 238 nt
Filed under: uncultured bacterium
Lineage: Bacteria
Description: partial 16S ribosomal RNA
Rfam family: Bacterial small subunit ribosomal RNA
Source: RNAcentral